AAAGUUAUGAAGGUCCAUGGUCUAGACUGACCUCCAUUACAUUUAAGAGGGGUGUCUUUCUAAAGUUUACUCAAGUGGUGGAACCUACAUCAUAAUUUGUUGUUGAUUGGGCCUGCGUUCGCGCGACCCACA
This 132-nucleotide small nuclear RNA is filed under the name Trifolium pratense (red clover). RNAcentral's name for it is "snRNA U1". It matches the Rfam family "U1 spliceosomal RNA", at positions 26 to 166 of the family's 166-position model. Rfam says of the family: U1 is a small nuclear RNA (snRNA) component of the spliceosome (involved in pre-mRNA splicing). The record is from RNAcentral. Lineage: Eukaryota; Viridiplantae; Streptophyta; Magnoliopsida; Fabales; Fabaceae.